UCAUCUGAAGACUAAAGAAAAAGAAAAGAGAAAGAGAAUAUCAUCAUGUUCAGCAGAAACAGUGGAGAGCAAACACUUAAACAGUUCAGAUCCAUCAAGGAUGACACUCAAACAACUGCAGAUGAAGAUUUAAUGUCAGAAUGCAGCUCAGUUCAUCAUAAGAGAUCAGAAGCAGAGCCCAGCUGUGUGUCUAUGAAGAGUGACACAUCUAUAUGUCCACCAAUAGAAUUUAAGAGAGGAGAUACACAACAUGGUCUCAG
Molecule: long non-coding RNA, 260 nt
Organism: Labeo rohita (rohu)
Lineage: Eukaryota; Metazoa; Chordata; Actinopteri; Cypriniformes; Cyprinidae
Exons: 3
Source: RefSeq, a predicted model, not a curated record